UACGUAGGUGGCGAGCGUUGUCCGGAAUUAUUGGGCGUAAAGAGCAUGUAGGCGGUUUCUUAAGUCUGGAGUGAAAAUGCGGGGCUCAACCCCGUAUGGCUCUGGAUACUGGGAGACUUGAGUGCAGGAGAGGAAAGGGGAAUUCCCAGUGUAGCGGUGAAAUGCGUAGAUAUUGGGAGGAACACCAGUGGCGAAGGCGCCUUUCUGGACUGUGUCUGACGCUGAGAUGCGAAAGCCAGGGUAGCGAACGGG
RNAcentral lists this ribosomal RNA (252 nucleotides) under Phascolarctobacterium succinatutens YIT 12067. Its description in RNAcentral is "partial 16S ribosomal RNA". It matches the Rfam family "Bacterial small subunit ribosomal RNA", at positions 524 to 776 of the family's 1533-position model. RNAcentral also lists the same sequence under 1 other name. The record is from RNAcentral. Lineage: Bacteria; Bacillati; Bacillota; Negativicutes; Acidaminococcales; Acidaminococcaceae.